AGGAUGAACGCUGGCGGCGUGCCUAAUACAUGCAAGUCGAGCGAACAGAUAAGGAGCUUGCUCCUUUGAAGUUAGCGGCGGACGGGUGAGUAACACGUGGGUAACCUACCUAUAAGACUGGGAUAACUUCGGGAAACCGGAGCUAAUACCGGAUAAUAUUUAGAACCGCAUGGUUCUAAAGUGAAAGAUGGUUUUGCUAUCACUUAUAGAUGGACCCGCGCCGUAUUAGCUAGUUGGUAAGGUAACGGCUUACCAAGGCGACGAUACGUAGCCGACCUGAGAGGGUGAUCGGCCACACUGGAACUGAGACACGGUCCAGACUCCUACGGGAGGCAGCAGUAGGGAAUCUUCCGCAAUGGGCGAAAGCCUGACGGAGCAACGCCGCGUGAGUGAUGAAGGGUUUCGGCUCGUAAAACUCUGUUAUUAGGGAAGAACAAAUGUGUAAGUAACUGUGCACAUCUUGACGGUACCUAAUCAGAAAGCCACGGCUAACUACGUGCCAGCAGCCGCGGUAAUACGUAGGU
This 524-nucleotide ribosomal RNA is filed under the name uncultured bacterium. RNAcentral describes it as "bacterial SSU rRNA". It matches the Rfam family "Bacterial small subunit ribosomal RNA", at positions 26 to 532 of the family's 1533-position model. The record is from RNAcentral.